CAGAGUUUUAUCCUGAGUGAAGAUAACUUAGAGGAUAGGAAGGAUGGAAUAGCUUUUGGACAACCUUGCUUACUAAACAACUAUAUUUUAAUUGACUCUAUAGAACUAUAUUUUCAGGGAGUCCCUUUUAAACUGGGAGGAGCAAAUUUUUUUAUAGCAUACAAAGGGUAAUAAACUGAAUUUAUCAAGUAAUUUCCAUGUCCCAACAAUUUGACUUCUACCUUGAAGCAUUACAGGAGAAUUCAAAAGACCUGGAUAAAAAUAAAAGCAGAGUAUCACUAAAUCAAAUUGAGCCUUUAAAUUGGUGGAGAAAUUUGGGCAUAUUUCUUUGAGUAAUUUUAGCAACAAAGAUAUGAAGUAGAGGCAAUUUCCAUGAAAUUGGUUACAUGCUCAUUAAAAAAGGACCUAUUACUUCUGUAUCUUAUAAAUUAUAAAUGCUGGAAUAUUCCUGUUGCCUAUCGGUAACAAAUGACUGCAAUAUUGACUGGAUCUUUUGUUUGAGAUUAACCUAUCAAUUUCUCAUCUGUGAAACGGACGAGUAGUGCUCAAAUUGUGCUGGACUUCUUACUUCAUGGUCGUAAUAGCUUGUGUCAUGGCAGAGAUUCUGUUAUCUUUUCAGUAUCCAGGAUCUCUAAAUUCUUUUUUGCGGCCACCUUUGAGAGUGAUCUACGUUUUUGUUUUUUUUUUGAAACGAAGUCUCACUCUGUUGCCCAGGCUGGAGUGCAGUGGCGCGAUCUUGGCUUACAGAACCUCCGCCUCCCAGGUUCAAGUGAUUCUCCUUCUCAACCUCCCGAGUAACUAGGAUUAUAGGUGCUCACCAUCACGCCAGUCUAAUUUUUGUAUUUUUAGUAGCAAUGGGCCAAUAUUGGCCAAUUUUAGUAGAGAUGGGCUAGGCUGGUCAUGAACUCCUGACCUCAAGUGAGCCACCUGUCUUGACGUCCUAAAGUGCUGUGAUUACAGGUGUGAGCCAUUGCACCCAGCCUUUUUAAGUUUCUGAUUAGCCUUUCCAAAGGAGGCAAUUGGAUAUGCAUUUAUCUCAGUAAGCAGAGGGGUGACUUUGAAUAGAAUGGGAGGCAGGCUUGCCCUGAACAGUUCCCAGCUUGACUUUUCACUUUAGCUUAGUGAUUUUGGGUCCCCAAGAUUUAUUUUCAUUUUAUAAAGCCUUUCCAUGAGUAUUCCUCUUGCUGCCUCUCAUUUCCUCCUGUAGGCUCCAUUUCUCUAGUCCUUUCCAUGCCCUUCCCAACAUGCAUCAAGACCUUCAAGGUCAUAUAAGGGAGUAGGAAGUCCGGCACCCUUUGUCAGUUAGCUGAAAAACAGGCUUCUUGUCUACUUAGAGAACAUGGGAAAUGGGAAUCUGAGGACAGAGAUAUUCACUUUGUUGCUAAAAUGCUCCAAGUGAGAGUCACUAUAAGGUCUUCCAGUCCAUAUCAAUCAGAGAAAUAAAGGCUGAACAAGAUUAUGAGUUGAAAAAGCCGAGGAAACCCCAGAUAUUGCAUGGUUUCAGGCUUUAGCCCUAUUACUCUCUUGAGCCUCCUGUAUAGGAGGGCCAUUAAUGUCUCAAGAUGUCAUGUAAUUGGACUCAUACCAUAUGUAGCCUUUCCAGAUUGGCUUACUUUACUUAGAAAUAUGAAUCAAGACUGGGCGCAGUAGUUCAUGCCUGUAAUCCGAGCACUUUGGGAGGCUGAGGUCAGGAGUUUGGGACCAGCCUAGCCAAUGUGAUGAAAUCCUGUCUCUACUAAAAACACAAAACUUAGCUGGGCAUGGUGGUGGAUGCCUGUAAUCCCAGCUACUCAGGAGGCUGAGGCAGGAGAAUCACUUGAACCUGGGAGGCCAGAGGUUACAGUGAGCUGAGAUCAUGCCGUUGCACUCCAGCCUGGGUGACAAGAGCGAAUCUCUGCCUCAAAAAAAAAAAAAAAAAGGAAAUAUGAAUCAAAGUUUUUCCAUGUCUUUUUAUGGUUUAAUACUAUCUUUCUUUUUAGUUUUGAGUAAUAUUCUAUUGUCUAGAUAUAACAGUUUAUUUUCCAUUCGCCUACUGAAGAAUAUCUGUUGCUUCCAAGUUUUGGCAAUUAUGAG
Molecule: long non-coding RNA, 2073 nt
Organism: Callithrix jacchus (white-tufted-ear marmoset)
Lineage: Eukaryota; Metazoa; Chordata; Mammalia; Primates; Cebidae
Source: Ensembl